GACGUAGGGCGCGAGCGUUGUCCGGAUUUAUUGGGCGUAAAGAGCUCGUAGGCGGCUUGUCGCGUCGAAUGUGAAAACCCACGGCUCAACUGUGGGCUUGCAUUCGAUACGGGCAGGCGUAGAGUUCGGUAGGGGAGACUGGAAUUCCUGGUGUAGCGGUGGAAAUGCGCAGAUAUCAGGAGGAACACCAGUAGGCGAAGGCAGGUCUCGCUG
Molecule: ribosomal RNA, 213 nt
Filed under: uncultured bacterium
Lineage: Bacteria
Description: partial 16S ribosomal RNA
Rfam family: Bacterial small subunit ribosomal RNA
Source: RNAcentral